AUCCAGGGCUCAGCUGAGACUGGGGGCCUCACCACAGCCCCACUCAGAUGCCUGGUGGUUGGAUGGGCUGCCAGCUGAGGCACCUCCGUUCUCCAACUCAUGGCCUUUCCAGCAGGACAGCCUGGACUUCUCCAUAUGAGAAUUGGGUGUCAAGAAGAUUUUAAUUCUUCAUGACUAGAUUCCACCCAAAGAUGUUUCUUUUGAAGCUUGGAGAAGGAGAAUGAAUAAAAAAGAAGAAUCCUUCUGGUAAUGUUAGGACUUUUGUGAAAUUUGAAAUGGCACAGUGUCCAAAACAACUUCUGAUUUCAUUUUGAGUUCAAUCACUUCAAAGAGAAGUUCAUUUAUAAAACAUCAUAUCUC
RNAcentral lists this long non-coding RNA (360 nucleotides) under Equus caballus (horse). Its description in RNAcentral is "lncRNA (ENSECAG00000060198.1)". Lineage: Eukaryota; Metazoa; Chordata; Mammalia; Perissodactyla; Equidae. The record is from RNAcentral.